RNAcentral lists this long non-coding RNA (3383 nucleotides) under Sus scrofa (pig). RNAcentral's name for it is "lncRNA (ENSSSCG00050014524.1)". Lineage: Eukaryota; Metazoa; Chordata; Mammalia; Artiodactyla; Suidae. The record is from RNAcentral.
GGAGGAGCUGCUACUCAAGAAAGAGGAAGAGGCGGGCUUUUCCGACCCCCACGCCCCUGGGAUGGUAAAGCUGCAGCCCACCUCGUCCUGGGGCAGAGUCUCCUUGCCUGCCUGCUUGCAUCGCUCACCAGCGUCCUAUCCUAACACCUCUGUUUCGUGCCCAUCACUUUGUCUCUCGCUGAAUUCCUUCUGCGUGGAGACAUAGAGAACCUCAACCUCAGUGAGUCCAGACGCAGGAGGAGAGCGUUUCCCAGACUCCUUGCCCCUGAGUGAGGAUACGUGCCUGGUUCUGGCCAAGGGGCUGUGGCUGAUACAGCAGGUGUCACUCUGAGUCAAAGCAAAGGAUGUGCAGACAUGAAGUCUCCACGCUCUCUCUUCUUCUCCCCUUGUCUCAAGGUGUCAGAGGCACCAGCUUAUGAGGGAUGUAUGAUUGUCAGCACCUCCACUUUACAGAAGAGGACACCUGGGUAUGAUGAUAAGCUGCCCAAGGUCCCAUAUCUGGUGCUUCAUAAUCCUGGCAAAGCCACUAAGCUGAGCAGAGCUGCAGAAAUUCCCUGGCUUUCCUACUGGAAGAUGUCGAUCAAUGAGGGCGCUCGCGGCCUUUGAUGUCAGGCAUCCACGCCCGCUUCUGUAAAGACUUUCGGCUCCACAAGAGAACGGGAAGUCACUGUGAAGAAAGAGGCAGGCGAUGUAACCGGAAAAGCGCGGGUUUGAUGUCAAACAGACCUGCGUGGUUCCACCGCUUUCCGACUGUGUGACACCUCCCCCCACCCCCACCGGCCCAGUUGCUCUUUGAACCCAAGUCUUGGAAAAUGGAACCAAUAAUACCUGUUCUUCAAGACUGUUUCUGCUGGAAGCUCCAAGAUUCAUCUGAAGGCGUGAUCACAUCCUCGAUGUUGAGUGGACCAUGAGCCGGCUGCCAGAGACAGGGUUCCAAGCCGGGCCAGGCCCAUCCCAAUGCCCACCCGAAAAGACGGGACAGGGGAAAGAAAGAAACAAAAUCCUGGGGCUCCAUUGGCUUUCUUUUUGACUCCAGCUGAAGUUGCUGCAUAGUGUGGCCUUGCCAGUCCUCGCCUUGAAAAGGCUGGAAGCGACUGACGUGAUGGAUCAUCUAAUCCCACAGCCUCAUUUUGCAGAGGACCCCGAGCCUCGACUUGGCCAAGGUCACACAGCUGGGCCACACCCAUGGCGUAUGGUUUUCAUAUGGAAUCGGAGCUGCAGUUGCCGGCCUAUGCCACAGCCACAGCAAGGUAGGAUCUGAACCAAGUCUUUGACCUACACCACAUCUCAUGGCAAUUCCAGAUCCCUGGACCCACUGAGUGAGGCCAGGGAUUGAACACGCACCCUUAUGGAUACUAGUUGGAUCACAACGGAACUCCCUGAAAAAUCAAGGUCUUUAAAGCAAUUCAUCAACCCCACCAACAUCUUGGCAUAAGAAAAUUGAUUCUGUAAGUCAAAAGAACUUAUAACAUGGUAUAUUGGGAGGAUGGCAGGGCUUGGUAAGUGGUAGCAACGCAGCUGGUAGAUUUUUCUUUGUUGUGUCCUUGUCCUUACGCUCUUUUUAGCCACAUUUUCAUUCAGGAUUCUUGGGUUGGAAGCAACAGAAAUGGACUCUUUUGGCCUUAAGCAAAAAGAAAAUUUGUUGAAAGGGCAUGGAGGAGUUCAUAGGAUUGACUAGAAGUUUGGAGAAGUAGGCUCAGGAGUCAAGGCAUUUAUAGAGGAGGGUAGGGUAGAGAGGUGAUAAAAAUAAUGCAACAGUCUUAUUUGGAAAUUGUACUGGCAUGUAAGAGUUUCAUCUUUCCUCCUCCCUUCCCCUCUCUCUCUUUCUGCCACUUCAUUCGAGAUUCCAAUUUCAGCGAAGGAGCAUCCAAUUGGCCUGUCUUGGUCAGAUUCCCACCACCCCCAUGGUUAGGGGAACACAGCAUAUUCGAAAUGGCAUUCCCACGAGGUACAUUCCAUGGAAAAGUAAUACCACAAAGAAAAUACGGACACAGUUAUCAAAGGAAGAUAAAACAGGUGCUGGGUAGCCAACAAUAGCCUAUUUCCACUAUAUCCUUUAAAAAAAAUCCCAGUAACUCUUCUAUGAUUACUGAUGUUUCAGGAGAGAAAUUUAACGAUGGAAGAGUGUAUACAUAGUGAUGAAAAGAAUGGGAGGAUUUAUAAGAUACAAGUCAUUUUCUUUGAGUUGUGGGACAAUGGUUGGGUCCAUUUUUCUUCUGUUGUUUUUUCCUAUAGAGCACAUUUAUAACCUUUUAAAAGUAAACUGUAUUUUCUACUUUAAGAUGAGUGAAAUGAGGGGGGAGUGUCCUUUUGACUGGGGACAUAGUCACUAGUUAGUCUAUGUUAAAAACAGAAGCAUACGUUCCUCUCGAGGGGCAACAGUGUUCUUAUACAUUAAACUCUCAACAGAAACCAAAAGAACCACCACCAAAAAAAUCCCACCCAGUUUGGAAAGGACUUGUGCUUGUGGGUCGGGGGCAGAAGGAAGCAAUUUCCCUCCAUUUUCUGCCUGAGCAGGCCUUUUGCACUUUGAUAUUCGUUUCACUAAUAAGGUGUUUCAUUAUUUCUCCCACAAAAAGAGCUGGUGCUGUUAUGAGAUGCUGUUGAAGACUCUGGUUUGCCCAGAUGUGCCGCAGUGAAAACAGCCUUUCUCUGACGUGCAUGACUUGUGAGGAUGAUGGGACCUGUGGGAAGAGGGGAUCCUUUUUCAGAGUUUGGAAAGAGAGGCAAAAUAACGCCAUCUGCCCUGCAUGGAUGACAGAAACACGUUCUUCCCUAAUCAGUGGGUCACUCACUUCCGCACUAUGUUGCAGGGAAGCAUCAUCUGAUUCCAAGCCUAAGGCUGGGUCAUCCGCGGCACUGACUUCUCCCGACCCUUCUCCGAGCUUCCCGUGCCAGUUUUCAUCAUCAAAUUUCUCUGCUCCCUUGGACCAGCGGAAAAGAAGUUAUGAGCUCUCUCCAUCAUUCGCCGGUCUCUUCGGCCCUUCCUCCUUUGAAGUUUUCUUAUUCGGGGUCUUUUUUUCGCUUCUUCUCCAUGUUUCAUCCUCUCUCACUGUAACCUUUUUAUCUCUGGAGAGUUCUCUCUGUGCCUCUGGGCCCUUCUCUUUCUAGUUGGUUCUCAGAACCCAUUCUGGGAUUCUAUUUCAGUCCAUCCGUCUCUCCAACAGACCACGGGUGAAACCAGGGCCGGUAAUCAGUCCCAGCUGCUGGAGGCGUCCGCUCUGGGUCGGCCCCACGUUUGUGGGCUGAUGUUUUGCUUCCCAUAAUGCUCUGGGAGUUCUGCUGCUCAGAGCUUGGCUUGUGCUUUUUCUUCUCCUGCCAAGGGGCCCUGCUUCCAAAACCCAGAUUAGAAAACAUGGGACGUUAAAAAAAAAAAAAAAAAA